UACGUAGGGGGCAAGCGUUGUCCGGAAUCAUUGGGCGUAAAGAGCGUGUAGGCGGCCAGAUAAGUCCGCUGUGAAAUCUCGAGGCUCAACUUCGAGCUGUCGGUGGAAACUGUCUGGCUAGAGUCCGGAAGAGGAGAAUGGAAUUCCUGGUGUAGCGGUGAAAUGCGCAGAUAUCAGGAGGAACACCGGUGGCGAAGGCGGAUCUCUGGGCCGAUACUGACGCUGAGGAGCGAAAGCGUGGGGAGCGAACAGG
RNAcentral lists this ribosomal RNA (253 nucleotides) under uncultured bacterium. Its description in RNAcentral is "partial 16S ribosomal RNA". It matches the Rfam family "Bacterial small subunit ribosomal RNA", at positions 524 to 776 of the family's 1533-position model. The record is from RNAcentral.